Molecule: ribosomal RNA, 798 nt
Filed under: Cladosporium sp.
Lineage: Eukaryota; Fungi; Ascomycota; Dothideomycetes; Cladosporiales; Cladosporiaceae
Description: SSU rRNA
Rfam family: Eukaryotic small subunit ribosomal RNA
Source: RNAcentral
CACUAUACGGUGAAACUGCGAAUGGCUCAUUAAAUCAGUUAUCGUUUAUUUGAUAGUACCUUACUACAUGGAUAACCGUGGUAAUUCUAGAGCUAAUACAUGCUAAAAACCCCGACUUCGGAAGGGGUGUAUUUAUUAGAUAAAAAACCAAUGCCCUUCGGGGCUCCUUGGUGAAUCAUAAUAACUUAACGAAUCGCAUGGCCUUGCGCCGGCGAUGGUUCAUUCAAAUUUCUGCCCUAUCAACUUUCGAUGGUAGGAUAGUGGCCUACCAUGGUAUCAACGGGUAACGGGGAAUUAGGGUUCGACUCCGGAGAGGGAGCCUGAGAAACGGCUACCACAUCCAAGGAAGGCAGCAGGCGCGCAAAUUACCCAAUCCCGACACGGGGAGGUAGUGACAAUAAAUACUGAUACAGGGCUCUUUUGGGUCUUGUAAUUGGAAUGAGUACAAUUUAAAUCCCUUAACGAGGAACAAUUGGAGGGCAAGUCUGGUGCCAGCAGCCGCGGUAAUUCCAGCUCCAAUAGCGUAUAUUAAAGUUGUUGCAGUUAAAAAGCUCGUAGUUGAACCUUGGGCCUGGCUGGCCGGUCCGCCUCACCGCGUGUACUGGUCCGGCCGGGCCUUUCCUUCUGGGGAACCUCAUGCCCUUCACUGGGCGUGCUGGGGAACCAGGACUUUUACUUUGAAAAAAUUAGAGUGUUCAAAGCAGGCCUUUGCUCGAAUACAUUAGCAUGGAAUAAUAGAAUAGGACGUGUGGGUUCUAUUUUGUUGGUUUCUAGGACCGCCGUAAUGAUUAAUAGGGA